Long non-coding RNA from Mytilus trossulus (common blue mussel), 249 nucleotides. RefSeq lists it as uncharacterized. Lineage: Eukaryota; Metazoa; Mollusca; Bivalvia; Mytilida; Mytilidae. The transcript has 3 exons. The record is from RefSeq and is a predicted model, not a curated record.
GCCUGAAUUUUGAAAACAGUGAUAAAAGUUGCAGUGACAUCUAUCUCGAUUCAGCAGAUUCCAGUACAAAGAAAAAGAAUCUUUUAUAAAAAUUCACAGAUCCAAUGUGUGAUCAUGUGUCUGAGGUUGUGGAAUGCACAAGAUGGAACAAGAUAUAAAAAGAGACUGGAAACCAACACAAGACCAGCUGAUGAGAGGGCAGAAAACCAAAACUUUGAAUGCCAUGUAUACAACCAACACAAGACUAGA